UCUUUUCAUCAACACAGAUAUCCUGGGCGAACUGUUUUUAUUAUUAUACCUACUUAGUUAUUUAUAGUUGCUAGGGAAAAUAAAGAAUUUAUUUUGUCGUCAGUUACAUUUGUGACAGUCUUGGAAUAGUGAAAAUUUAUUUGUUGAAUUGAAGAUUUUUCUCCCAAAAUGGUUUACACACUAGCCGAAAAAGUGAAAAUUAUUCUAAUUUAUGGUGCCCAAAAUUAAUGUGCUCGGCAAACUACCGUCACGUUUAACGCCGGACAUCCGGAGAUGAUAACUUCGCAUAGGUUCUCUAGCUUUAUCACAAUGUCAAAAAGGAAAGAGAGAGAAAAAGACAAGGCAGAAAACAAAUUUAUUGUGUCCUAUGACCUUCAAGCAACUCUACCCUCCCCUCUUGGAAAUGCCUCCUCCUUCUACUAUACAAAGUUAAAUGUAUACAAUUUGACUUUUGUCAGCUCUACAAGAAAUGAUGUUGUGUGUCAUGUUUGGCAUGAGGGUGAGGCAAAUAGCGGAGCUAAUGAAAUUGGCUCAUGCAUCUGGAACUAUCUUAAUGGACUAAAGGAAAAAGCAUUCCUUGAAAAAAAUAAAAUGAUUGAUGUAACAUUUUAUACAGACAAUUGCUAAAAAUAAAUUUUUAUUUGAAUUUUACCUGUACGCUGUAUCAGUACUGCCACAUAUUAGUUCAAUAACUCAUAAGUACCUAAUUAGGGGACAUACCUAAAAUGAUGCUGAUAACUUACACUCAGUGAUUGAAAAACAAAUUAUGAGAUAUAAGAAGUCUGCAGCUAUCUACGCACCUGAUCAGUAUGUGACAUUAAUAAGGCAAGCCAAAAAAACUGGGCAACCCUAUGUAUUGUACUAUAUAGUUGAUUUUAUUGAUUCAAGAAAAGAAAAGAAAGGAAGAACAAAAAAAGGAAGGAAAGGGGGGAGAAAGAAAAAAAAAGAAAAAAGAAAUGUAAAUUUUAACUGUUUAACUUUGAUUCGUCAUUGUAACUUGUAUUUUUAAAUAUAAUUUUAACCCUGUAACUCUGUCUCUUUAGGAUUAGGUGAAGCUUUGUUUAUAACAAUAUUUUGUUCAAACAAUAAAGCAUAUUUGAAUUUGAA
Anthonomus grandis grandis is the source of this 1107-nucleotide long non-coding RNA. RefSeq lists it as uncharacterized. NCBI's taxonomy places the organism in Eukaryota, Metazoa, Arthropoda, Insecta, Coleoptera, Curculionidae. The transcript has 2 exons. The record is from RefSeq and is a predicted model, not a curated record.